Molecule: transfer RNA, 75 nt
Filed under: Candidatus Daviesbacteria bacterium
Lineage: Bacteria; Candidatus Daviesiibacteriota
Description: tRNA-Trp
Rfam family: tRNA
About the family: Transfer RNA (tRNA) molecules are approximately 80 nucleotides in length. Their secondary structure includes four short double-helical elements and three loops (D, anti-codon, and T loops). Further hydrogen bonds mediate the characteristic L-shaped molecular structure. tRNAs have two regions of fundamental functional importance: the anti-codon, which is responsible for specific mRNA codon recognition, and the 3' end, to which the tRNAs corresponding amino acid is attached (by aminoacyl-tRNA synthetases). tRNAs cope with the degeneracy of the genetic code in two manners: having more than one tRNA (with a specific anti-codon) for a particular amino acid; and 'wobble' base-pairing, i.e. permitting non-standard base-pairing at the 3rd anti-codon position.
Source: RNAcentral
AGGGGCGUCCGUUAAUUGGCAAACGAUCGGACUCCAAAUCCGACCCUGGAGGUUCGAUUCCUCCCGCCCCUGCCA